AUACAGAGGGCCCGAGCGUUAAUCGGAAUCACUGGGCUUAAAGAGUUCGUAGGCGGUCUUGUAAGUAUCUUGUGAAAUCCCACGGCUCAACCGUGGAAUUGCUCGGUAAACUGCAAGACUUGAGUAUGGUAGAGGCUGUCGGAACUCUAGGUGGAGCGGUGAAAUGCGUAGAUAUCUAGAGGAACACCAAAGGCGAAGGCAGACAGCUGGGCCAUUACUGACGCUGAGGAACGAAAGCGUGGGUAGCGAACGGGAUUAGAAACCCUAGUAGUCC
RNAcentral lists this ribosomal RNA (274 nucleotides) under uncultured bacterium. RNAcentral's name for it is "partial 16S ribosomal RNA". It matches the Rfam family "Bacterial small subunit ribosomal RNA", at positions 523 to 796 of the family's 1533-position model. The record is from RNAcentral.